UACGUAGGGUGCAAGCGUUGUCCGGAAUUAUUGGGCGUAAAGAGCUCGUAGGCGGUUUGUCGCGUCUGCUGUGAAAACUCGGGGCUCAACUCCGAGCUUGCAGUGGGUACGGGCAGACUAGAGUGCGGUAGGGGAGGCUGGAAUUCCUGGUGUAGCGGUGAAAUGCGCAGAUAUCAGGAGGAACACCGGUGGCGAAGGCGGGUCUCUGGGCCGUAACUGACGCUGAGGAGCGAAAGCGUGGGGAGCGAACAGG
Molecule: ribosomal RNA, 253 nt
Filed under: uncultured bacterium
Lineage: Bacteria
Description: partial 16S ribosomal RNA
Rfam family: Bacterial small subunit ribosomal RNA
Source: RNAcentral